CUUUCACAAAUGGUUGAGACUCACGGACUCUUUGUGGUGCAGGGAGGGGUUGGCAGAGACCGUCUCAUUCUCAAAUGAAAGUCAGUAGACGCACAGAGUUAUCAAAACUGACAUUUCCAAAAGGUUUCAAUCUCUAGUUUAAGCUCCUUUGGGGACAUCUUGAAGACACCAUCCAUAGCUGUCAUUGACCUCAAGGAGAGUUAAGAAAAUACAGAUCUGGUGCUGAAACUGUGGUUGUGACCCUCACUGCAGCAAGGCUCCAAGGGCUGGGAGAACCAYUGAGCAGCUCUCGGAGGUGAGAGUUGCCUUCAGAGUCCUCUCAAACACCAACCUCGGAGACCUGAAAGUGCUGUGCUGCUCGUGACAGAGGAAUUCAGCAGGAGUAGAUUUGAUAACAGAUGGUAAAACUGCAAAACUGCCUCUGCUUCAUUAGAACCCCUGGCAAGACUCCUAUAGAAGGGGCGCUACAGAGAUCACUAAAGCACCGCGCAGGGCUCGCCCUGGGGCCAGCCAGAUUAUCAGGACGUUUGGUCCCAU
Molecule: long non-coding RNA, 537 nt
Organism: Nothoprocta perdicaria
Lineage: Eukaryota; Metazoa; Chordata; Aves; Tinamiformes; Tinamidae
Exons: 3
Source: RefSeq, a predicted model, not a curated record